RNAcentral lists this non-coding RNA (52 nucleotides) under unclassified sequences. The record is from RNAcentral.
GUCUUAAUGCAGCCGAAGACGGUCACAAGCCCGUAUAAAUGCAGAGUGAGAC